UACGAAGGGUGCAAGCGUUACUCGGAAUUACUGGGCGUAAAGCGUGCGUAGGUGGUUAGUUAAGUCUGUCGUGAAAGCCCCGGGCUCAACCUGGGAAUGGCGAUGGAUACUGGCUCGCUAGAGUGCGGUAGAGGGUGGUGGAAUUCCCGGUGUAGCAGUGAAAUGCGUAGAGAUCGGGAGGAACAUCAGUGGCGAAGGCGGCCACCUGGACCAGCACUGACACUGAGGCACGAAAGCGUGGGGAGCAAACAGG
This 253-nucleotide ribosomal RNA is filed under the name uncultured bacterium. RNAcentral describes it as "partial 16S ribosomal RNA". It matches the Rfam family "Bacterial small subunit ribosomal RNA", at positions 524 to 776 of the family's 1533-position model. The record is from RNAcentral.